Molecule: ribosomal RNA, 926 nt
Filed under: uncultured Actinomycetes bacterium
Lineage: Bacteria; Bacillati; Actinomycetota; Actinomycetes
Description: bacterial SSU rRNA
Rfam family: Bacterial small subunit ribosomal RNA
Source: RNAcentral
UACGACUCACUAUAGGGCGAAUUGGGCCCGACGUCGCAUGCUCCCGGCCGCCAUGGCGGCCGCGGGAAUUCGAUUAGAGUUUGAUCAUGGCUCAGGACGAACGCUGGCGGCGUGCUUAACACAUGCAAGUCGAACGAUGAAGCUGGAGCUUGCUCCGGUGGAUUAGUGGCGAACGGGUGAGUAACACGUGAGCAAUCUGCCCUUGACUCUGGGAUAACUGCGGGAAACUGUAGCUAAUACCGGAUACUUUCCUCGGUGGGCAUCCACUGGGGAAGAAAGAAUUUCGGUCAAGGAUGAGCUCGCGACCUAUCAGCUAGUUGGUGAGGUAAUGGCUCACCAAGGCGACGACGGGUAGCCGGCCUGAGAGGGUGACCGGCCACACUGGGACUGAGACACGGCCCAGACUCCUACGGGAGGCAGCAGUGGGGAAUAUUGCACAAUGGGCGCAAGCCUGAUGCAGCAACGCCGCGUGAGGGACGAAGGCCUUCGGGUUGUAAACCUCUUUUAGCAGGGAAGAAGCGAAAGUGACGGUACCUGCAGAAAAAGCACCGGCUAACUACGUGCCAGCAGCCGCGGUAAUACGUAGGGUGCAAGCGUUGUCCGGAAUUAUUGGGCGUAAAGAGCUCGUAGGCGGUUUGUCACGUCUGCUGUGAAAUUUCGAGGCUCAACCUCGAACUUGCAGUGGGUACGGGCAGGCUAGAGUGCGGUAGGGGAGAUGGGAAUUCCUGGUGUAGCGGUGGAAUGCGCAGAUAUCAGGAGGAACACCAAUGGCGAAGGCACAUCUCUGGGCCGUAACUGACGCUGAGGAGCGAAAGCAUGGGGAGCAAACAGGAUUAGAUACCCUGGUAGUCCAUGCCGUAAACGGUGGGUGCUAGCUGUGGGCCACAUUCCACGUGGUCCGUGACGAAGUUAACACAUUAAGCACC